RNAcentral lists this ribosomal RNA (395 nucleotides) under Unio crassus. RNAcentral's name for it is "partial 16S ribosomal RNA". It matches the Rfam family "Bacterial large subunit ribosomal RNA", at positions 1914 to 2547 of the family's 2925-position model. The record is from RNAcentral. Lineage: Eukaryota; Metazoa; Mollusca; Bivalvia; Unionida; Unionidae.
AAAAUUUUAAACGGCCGCGUUAGCGUGAGCGUGCUAAGGUAGCGUAAUAAUUAGCCUUUUAAUUGGAGGCCAGUGAAUGGCAAGACUAGGAAUAUCUGUACUUUAUGUAUAAAAAAAACUUUUCUUCUAAGUGAAAAGACUUAGAUAACAAAGGAAGACGAAAAGACCCCGCGGAACUUCACCUUUUCUUAUACCUCUGCGUACCAAGCUUAAAAGUAUACAAGGUUUGAUUGGGGCAAUCUUGGAACCAAUAAAGCUUCCAAACUUCCGUAUAAAGCUAUACAAAAUUUAUUAAGGACCAAAAAGUAGUUACCCCGGGGAUAACAGCGUAAUCCAACUUAAGAGUACACAUCGAAAGUUGGGUUUGCGACCUCGAUGUUGGCUUAAGGACAUCC